UUUCCCAGUUUUCAGGCUGCAUUACUGUAAAGUGAUGUCAUCUUAUGAACUUACAGACUUACUAACUCUUCUGUUAUUUUCCCUUGCCCACUUAGUCACUGCAUCCACAUUACUGGUGAUUAUUUAUCAAAACUAUCAUUGUGUUAGUAUUUUGUGAAAACACCAAUAGUCAACCCUACAACAUCUCCGCAAUAUCGAUAUUGAUGUGUAUUUGGUCAAAAAUAUU
Long non-coding RNA from Etheostoma spectabile (orangethroat darter), 226 nucleotides. RefSeq lists it as uncharacterized. Lineage: Eukaryota; Metazoa; Chordata; Actinopteri; Perciformes; Percidae. The record is from RefSeq and is a predicted model, not a curated record. The transcript has 3 exons.